GCAGCCAUAGCUCAACUGGAUAGAGCAACGGUCUUCGGAACCGUAGGUUGUAGGUUCGAAUCCUACUGGCUGUA
RNAcentral lists this transfer RNA (74 nucleotides) under bacterium. RNAcentral's name for it is "tRNA-Arg". It matches the Rfam family "tRNA". From Rfam's summary of the family: Transfer RNA (tRNA) molecules are approximately 80 nucleotides in length. Their secondary structure includes four short double-helical elements and three loops (D, anti-codon, and T loops). The record is from RNAcentral.